UACGUAGGGAGCGAGCGUUGUCCGGAAUUACUGGGUGUAAAGGGAGCGUAGGCGGGAUCGCAAGUCAGAUGUGAAAACUAUGGGCUUAACCCAUAGACUGCAUUUGAAACUGCGGUUCUUGAGUGAAGUAGAGGUAAGCGGAAUUCCUAGUGUAGCGGUGAAAUGCGUAGAUAUUAGGAGGAACAUCGGUGGCGAAGGCGGCUUACUGGGCUUUUACUGACGCUGAGGCUCGAAAGCGUGGGGAGCAA
This 248-nucleotide ribosomal RNA is filed under the name uncultured Ruminococcus sp. RNAcentral describes it as "partial 16S ribosomal RNA". It matches the Rfam family "Bacterial small subunit ribosomal RNA", at positions 524 to 771 of the family's 1533-position model. The record is from RNAcentral. Lineage: Bacteria; Bacillati; Bacillota; Clostridia; Eubacteriales; Oscillospiraceae.